RNAcentral lists this ribosomal RNA (497 nucleotides) under uncultured bacterium. RNAcentral's name for it is "partial 16S ribosomal RNA". The record is from RNAcentral.
CACGUAGUUAGCCGGGGCUUUCUGGCAGAGUACCGUCAGCACGCUAUCAUUACCUAUAGCGUGGUUUCUUUCUCUACAACAGAGUUUUACGACCCAUAGGGCCUUCAUCACUCACGCGGCAUUGCUCGUUCAGGGUUUCCCCCAUUGACGAAUAUUCCUAACUGCUGUCUCCCGUAGGAGUCUGGGCCGUGUCUCAGUCCCAGUGUGUCCGAUCAGCCUCUCAGCUCGGAUAUGCAUCGUUGCCUUGGUAGGCCAUUACCCCACCAACAAGCUAAUACAACGCAAGCCCAUCUCGAAGUGAAGCCGAAGCUCCUUUUAGCAUAUCUACUUAUGUAAAUAUGAAUCAUCCGGUAUUAGCACCUAUUUCUAAGUGUUAUCCCCCGGUAUACGGCAGGUUAUCCACGCGUUACUCACCCGUCCGCCACUAACUCAUAAAUCACUAGGUUUCAGUAUGAGUCCGUUCGACUUGCAUGUGUUAGGCACGCCGCCAGCGUUCU